GGUUAAGCGACUAAGCGUACACGGUGGAUGCCCUGGCAGUCAGAGGCGAUGAAGGACGUGCUAAUCUGCGAUAAGCGUCGGUAAGGUGAUAUGAACCGUUAUAACCGGCGAUUUCCGAAUGGGGAAACCCAGUGUGAUUCGUCACACUAUCAUUAACUGAAUCCAUAGGUUAAUGAGGCGAACCGGGGGAACUGAAACAUCUAAGUACCCCGAGGAAAAGAAAUCAACCGAGAUUCCCCCAGUAGCGGCGAGCGAACGGGGAGCAGCCCAGAGCCUGAAUCAGUGUGUGUGUUAGUGGAAGCGUCUGGAAAGGCGUGCGAUACAGGGUGACAGCCCCGUACACAAAAAUGCACAUGCUGUGAGCUCGAUGAGUAGGGCGGGACACGUGGUAUCCUGUCUGAAUAUGGGGGGACCAUCCUCCAAGGCUAAAUACUCCUGACUGACCGAUAGUGAACCAGUACCGUGAGGGAAAGGCGAAAAGAACCCCGGCGAGGGGAGUGAAAAAGAACCUGAAACCGUGUACGUACAAGCAGUGGGAGCACAGAGCAAUCUGUGUGACUGCGUACCUUUUGUAUAAUGGGUCAGCGACUUAUAUUCUGUAGCAAGGUUAACCGAAUAGGGGAGCCGAAGGGAAACCGAGUCUUAACUGGGCGUUAAGUUGCAGGGUAUAGACCCGAAACCCGGUGAUCUAGCCAUGGGCAGGUUGAAGGUUGGGUAACACUAACUGGAGGACCGAACCGACUAAUGUUGAAAAAUUAGCGGAUGACUUGUGGCUGGGGGUGAAAGGCCAAUCAAACCGGGAGAUAGCUGGUUCUCCCCGAAAGCUAUUUAGGUAGCGCCUCGUGAAUUCAUCUCCGGGGGUAGAGCACUGUUUCGGCAAGGGGGUCAUCCCGACUUACCAACCCGAUGCAAACUGCGAAUACCGGAGAAUGUUAUCACGGGAGACACACGGCGGGUGCUAACGUCCGUCGUGAAGAGGGAAACAACCCAGACCGCCAGCUAAGGUCCCAAAGUCAUGGUUAAGUGGGAAACGAUGUGGGAAGGCCCAGACAGCCAGGAUGUUGGCUUAGAAGCAGCCAUCAUUUAAAGAAAGCGUAAUAGCUCACUGGUCGAGUCGGCCUGCGCGGAAGAUGUAACGGGGCUAAACCAUGCACCGAAGCUGCGGCAGCGACGCUUAUGCGUUGUUGGGUAGGGGAGCGUUCUGUAAGCCUGCGAAGGUGUGCUGUGAGGCAUGCUGGAGGUAUCAGAAGUGCGAAUGCUGACAUAAGUAACGAUAAAGCGGGUGAAAAGCCCGCUCGCCGGAAGACCAAGGGUUCCUGUCCAACGUUAAUCGGGGCAGGGUGAGUCGACCCCUAAGGCGAGGCCGAAAGGCGUAGUCGAUGGGAAACAGGUUAAUAUUCCUGUACUUGGUGUUACUGCGAAGGGGGGACGGAGAAGGCUAUGUUGGCCGGGCGACGGUUGUCCCGGUUUAAGCGUGUAGGCUGGUUUUCCAGGCAAAUCCGGAAAACUAAGGCUGAGGCGUGAUGACGAGGCACUACGGUGCUGAAGCAACAAAUGCCCUGCUUCCAGGAAAAGCCUCUAAGCAUCAGGUAACAUCAAAUCGUACCCCAAACCGACACAGGUGGUCAGGUAGAGAAUACCAAGGCGCUUGAGAGAACUCGGGUGAAGGAACUAGGCAAAAUGGUGCCGUAACUUCGGGAGAAGGCACGCUGAUAUGUAGGUGAAGUCCCUCGCGGAUGGAGCUGAAAUCAGUCGAAGAUACCAGCUGGCUGCAACUGUUUAUUAAAAACACAGCACUGUGCAAACACGAAAGUGGACGUAUACGGUGUGACGCCUGCCCGGUGCCGGAAGGUUAAUUGAUGGGGUCAGCGCAAGCGAAGCUCUUGAUCGAAGCCCCGGUAAACGGCGGCCGUAACUAUAACGGUCCUAAGGUAGCGAAAUUCCUUGUCGGGUAAGUUCCGACCUGCACGAAUGGCGUAAUGAUGGCCAGGCUGUCUCCACCCGAGACUCAGUGAAAUUGAACUCGCUGUGAAGAUGCAGUGUACCCGCGGCAAGACGGAAAGACCCCGUGAACCUUUACUAUAGCUUGACACUGAACAUUGAGCCUUGAUGUGUAGGAUAGGUGGGAGGCUUGGAAGUGUGGACGCCAGUCUGCAUGGAGCCGACCUUGAAAUACCACCCUUUAAUGUUUGAUGUUCUAACGUUGACCCGUAAUCCGGGUUGCGGACAGUGUCUGGUGGGUAGUUUGACUGGGGCGGUCUCCUCCUAAAGAGUAACGGAGGAGCACGAAGGUUGGCUAAUCCUGGUCGGACAUCAGGAGGUUAGUGCAAUGGCAUAAGCCAGCUUGACUGCGAGCGUGACGGCGCGAGCAGGUGCGAAAGCAGGUCAUAGUGAUCCGGUGGUUCUGAAUGGAAGGGCCAUCGCUCAACGGAUAAAAGGUACUCCGGGGAUAACAGGCUGAUACCGCCCAAGAGUUCAUAUCGACGGCGGUGUUUGGCACCUCGAUGUCGGCUCAUCACAUCCUGGGGCUGAAGUAGGUCCCAAGGGUAUGGCUGUUCGCCAUUUAAAGUGGUACGCGAGCUGGGUUUAGAACGUCGUGAGACAGUUCGGUCCCUAUCUGCCGUGGGCGCUGGAGAACUGAGGGGGGCUGCUCCUAGUACGAGAGGACCGGAGUGGACGCAUCACUGGUGUUCGGGUUGUCAUGCCAAUGGCACUGCCCGGUAGCUAAAUGCGGAAGAGAUAAGUGCUGAAAGCAUCUAAGCACGAAACUUGCCCCGAGAUGAGUUCUCCCUGACUCCUUGAGAGUCCUGAAGGAACGUUGAAGACGACGACGUUGAUAGGCCGGGUGUGUAAGCGCAGCGAUGCGUUGAGCUAACCGGUACUAAUGAACCGUGAGGCUUAACCUU
Molecule: ribosomal RNA, 2906 nt
Filed under: Escherichia coli
Lineage: Bacteria; Pseudomonadati; Pseudomonadota; Gammaproteobacteria; Enterobacterales; Enterobacteriaceae
Description: 23S ribosomal RNA
Rfam family: Bacterial large subunit ribosomal RNA
Source: RNAcentral